ACAUCAUGAUGACCCGAGCCAACGUCGACAUCGAAAUGCGGCCCUUUGGCGUCUACACGCUCAACUAUAUGUCAUUCAAAGAUUUGAUGAAAACGGCGUAUUCCUUUGGGAACAUUCUUUAUACAAAGAAGCUGAGUAGUCAAACACAAUAUUAAAAUUGGGAAGUAUUUCAAAAAUGAAAACCAAUGUGCAGGACAACAUAGGUUUUGAUUGGAGUUACUUUCUAUUGUUACAUCAAAAAUGUUUAGUCCCAGUGAAAUUGAAUGCAAGGAUAUUUUGUUAAUGUAAGAGUAAUAUCAGUUGAUAAAGUGAGUAUCUGA
Nilaparvata lugens (brown planthopper) is the source of this 320-nucleotide long non-coding RNA. RefSeq lists it as uncharacterized. The record is from RefSeq and is a predicted model, not a curated record. Lineage: Eukaryota; Metazoa; Arthropoda; Insecta; Hemiptera; Delphacidae. The transcript has 2 exons.